Populus trichocarpa (black cottonwood) is the source of this 155-nucleotide non-coding RNA. Lineage: Eukaryota; Viridiplantae; Streptophyta; Magnoliopsida; Malpighiales; Salicaceae. The record is from Rfam.
UCUAGAACUCGAGAUAUGGGCAGAACACUGAAUAGUGUUUAGGCUGCAGGACAGAUCUAGGUUUCUCUUUUGAUGCUAAGAUUUGGACUUCCAAAUGACAGAAUUGAGUCUUGGACUCCCAUGAAUAUUUUAGGCCUAUGUCUUAGCUUUUUAGC